This 495-nucleotide ribosomal RNA is filed under the name uncultured bacterium. RNAcentral's name for it is "partial 16S ribosomal RNA". It matches the Rfam family "Bacterial small subunit ribosomal RNA", at positions 28 to 507 of the family's 1533-position model. The record is from RNAcentral.
GACGAACGCUGGCGGCGUGCCUAAUACAUGCAAGUAGAACGCUGAAGGAGGAGCUUGCUUCUCUGGAUGAGUUGCGAACGGGUGAGUAACGCGUAGGUAACCUGCCUGGUAGCGGGGGAUAACUAUUGGAAACGAUAGCUAAUACCGCAUCAGAGUAGAUGUUGCAUGACAUUUGCUUAAAAGUUGCAAUUGCAUCACUACCAGAUGGACCUGCGUUGUAUUAGCUAGUUGGCGGGGUAACGGCUUACCAAGGCGACGAUACAUAGCCGACCUGAGAGGGUGAUCGGCCAACCUGGGACUGAGACAAGGCCCAGACUCCUACGGGAGGCAGCAGUAGGGAAUCUUCGGCAAUGGACGGAAGUCUGACCGGGCAACGCCGCGUGAGUGAAGAAGGUUUUCGGAUCGUAAAGCUCUGUUGUAAGAGAAGAACGAGUGUGAGAGUGGAAAGUUCACACUGUGACGGUAUCUUACCAGAAAGGGACGGCUAACUACGUG